This 74-nucleotide ribosomal RNA is filed under the name uncultured bacterium. RNAcentral describes it as "partial 16S ribosomal RNA". The record is from RNAcentral.
UUACAACCCGAAGGCCUUCNUCCUGCACGCGGCAUUGCUGGAUCAGGCUUGCGCCCAUUGUCCAAAAUUCCCCA